Molecule: long non-coding RNA, 2110 nt
Filed under: Carica papaya (papaya)
Lineage: Eukaryota; Viridiplantae; Streptophyta; Magnoliopsida; Brassicales; Caricaceae
Description: long non-coding RNA (CPAP_LNC001362)
Source: RNAcentral
UUCAAGCAAAUCUUGCCAAAUAUUUCUAUCCAGAAGAUAUCUGCAUGAGACAAUUAAUUCUUCCCGAAAGAAAAUCCACAAUGCUUAUUACUGCACAUUAAUUACAUAUUUUUAAUCAUUCGAAGUGAUAACAAAUAUAGCUAAAACAGAUAUUAUGUCACUUACAACCCUCAAGGCAUCAACGAAUAUUAUUCUUGCGAGCAAGUUCUCGUGCCAUCUCCCUCAGUUCUUCUGGCGAUGGAGGUGUCAGUGCCUCUUGGGGAUACACCACAUAAGAACGCUUCAAAAUAGAAACACAUUGUUUAGAUGCCUCGCAUAAUAAAGCGAGCAUCAUCAGCAUUAGUUUAAGCACUGAAUAUUUCAGCAUUGGAUAUUGGCUGACAUCCUUUCUUAAGUGUAGUUGGACUUUCUCCUUUCUCUCUCUCUUUUAUUGUUCUUUUGCGAGGAUAUCUAAUUCCUCAAUUAUUGUUUUGUUUCUCCCUCUUAAUAAUUUUUUUCUUCUCUAAAGAAUGUAAUAUGAUUCUAAUUAUGCUAAAUAUCGCUAUUUUAAACAAAAUUGUCAUAUUGCAUUCUCAUGUUCCCUCCUCUCUAUAUCAAUGUUAUUAGUUACAAUUGAAGAUAUAUGGAAUUGCACCAAGGAGUACAACCCUUUCCCUACAUAAUCAAUGGUGCGGACUUCAGCGGUACCCUGUUUCCAAGCCAAGACUAAUGAUUCAUCAUUCGAUCAUAAAAGUUGUCCUCCAAGUAAAGGUAUCCUAAGGAGAACUUUUCUAUGUUAGAAGUAUUUUAACAUCAAAUCCUCAUCAACAGCAAUAAAUUGAUAAAGGAAAUUAUUUUCUACAAAUGUAUUGAUCAAUUAUUUUUGGAAAAAGGACAAACAAAAUCAAUACAUUUCAUAACAACUGGAGGACUCAGAAAAUAUUCAACCAAUGGGGGAGUCAAAAAAUAUAGGCCCAUUGUCAAAGUUGGAAAAUCAAGACUAGAUUAUCAAUACCUCAGACAACCACAGGGUAUCUUCUUCCCAUACAUGGAAUAUCAUCCACUCAAUCGGGCUGAAGAGCACCGUGUGAUUGGCAGAAACCGAAGCAAAAUAAGGUAAAUCUCGUCCUUUACGUCCUUUUCAUCUACUUUUCCUUCAAACCUUUUUCCUAUUUCACACUAACCGGUUUGAAGGUGUGAAACAUGUCAUCUAAACUUCAAAGCAAGCAAAGAGAGUCGCGGGGAACCGAGAAAACCAUCCUCGAAUUUGAACCAAGGCCGAAUCGCACCACGCCGGCACAGGUACGCUUUUUAUGUGAUUCUGUUUGGUUGUUAGGGCGACGGAGGGCGAGCAGUCGAUGUCACGUUGGCCACGUGAGCUCAACCUAGUCGCUCGCCCACUCAGAAACUGAGUCGUCCUCGGGUAUGGGAACCCGAUACUCUCGGGUUUGACCCGCUCGCCUACUCAAAAAUUGAGGAGUCUUCCUCGGGUACGGGACCCUAUACUCCCGGGUUUGGAAACAGGGACCGUUUGGGGAGCAAUUGCUCACCUUAUGCGGUGAGUCGGGCAUCCCGUCGAGUGUCAUUAGAAACCAUGCUUUUGGUCGAAUUUAACCUCUAUUUAAUAUUUAAAUUGCAUUAAUUAAUUUGUGUUGUAUGUGCGUACAGUAAACUAGGACGUUCAAACAGAUUUGGGAAGGUCAUUGCGCAAAAGAGUUGUAAGUAUUUCCAAUUCUGAAUCUAAAUUAGGAAGUUGAAUUUAUGCAUGUAUAUUAUAAAUUUUGUGUGUAUUUUAAACACAGAACAGAUACUAAUCCGAUUUCUUGAUGAAAAACAGAAACCAUACCUAUGACGAAUGAACCCUAACCUGUUUGGAAUUUAUGAGGAGAUGGAAACCAGAAAAUCAAAGACUGAGGAAUAUUUGAACUGAUGAUAAUAAAUAAAAUUAAAUUUAAAAGAAAUCAACAAUAAAGCAGAAGGUUGAGAAAAAGAAAAUAAAAUAAAAGAAAAAUAAUUAUCGUUAUGAAACAAUUAGUUUAAGUAAAAUUUAAGAGGAAAAUAGAACAGAGAGAAGUAAAUAAGAAUUUGAAAAUGAGAGGAUUUGAAUGAAUAAGGUAUAAACCCUAAAUAC